UUUUAUGGAGAGUUUGAUCCUGGCUCAGGAUGAACGCUGGCGGCGUGCCUAAUACAUGCAAGUCGAGCGAACAGACAAGG
This 80-nucleotide ribosomal RNA is filed under the name Staphylococcus haemolyticus. Its description in RNAcentral is "partial 16S ribosomal RNA". It matches the Rfam family "Bacterial small subunit ribosomal RNA", at positions 1 to 79 of the family's 1533-position model. The record is from RNAcentral. Lineage: Bacteria; Bacillati; Bacillota; Bacilli; Caryophanales; Staphylococcaceae.